RNAcentral lists this ribosomal RNA (495 nucleotides) under uncultured bacterium. RNAcentral's name for it is "partial 16S ribosomal RNA". It matches the Rfam family "Bacterial small subunit ribosomal RNA", at positions 28 to 507 of the family's 1533-position model. The record is from RNAcentral.
GACGAACGCUGGCGGCGUGCCUAAUACAUGCAAGUAGAACGCUGAAGGAGGAGCUUGCUUCUCUGGAUGAGUUGCGAACGGGUGAGUAACGCGUAGGUAACCUGCCUGGUAGCGGGGGAUAACUAUUGGAAACGAUAGCUAAUACCGCAUAAUAGUAGAUGUCGCAUGACAUUUGCUUAAAAGGUGCAAUUGCAUCACUACCAGAUGGACCUGCGUUGUAUUAGCUAGUUGGUGAGGUAACGGCUCACCAAGGCAACGAUACAUAGCCGACCUGAGAGGGUGAUCGGCCACACUGGGACUGAGACACGGCCCAGACUCCUACGGGAGGCAGCAGUAGGGAAUCUUCGGCAAUGGACGGAAGUCUGACCGAGCAACGCCGCGGGAGUGAAGAAGGUUUUCGGAUCGUAAAGCUCUGUUGUAAGAGAAGAACGAGUGUGAGAGUGGAAAGUUCACACUGUGACGGUAUCUUACCAGAAAGGGACGGCUAACUACGUG